CCUACGGGAGGCAGCAGUGGGGAAUAUUGGACAAUGGGGGGAACCCUGAUCCAGCGACGCCGCGUGCGUGAAGAAGUAUUUCGGUAUGUAAAGCUCUAUCAGCAGGGAAGAAAGAAAUGACGGUACCUGACUAAGAAGCCCCGGCUAACUACGUGCCAGCAGCCGCGGUAAUACGUAGGGGGCAAGCGUUAUCCGGAUUUACUGGGUGUAAAGGGAGCGUAGACGGCGAUGCAAGUCUGAAGUGAAAGGCGGGGGCUCAACCCCCGGACUGCUUUGGAAACUGUAUGGCUGGAGUGCAGGAGAGGUAAGUGGAAUUCCUAGUGUAGCGGUGAAAUGCGUAGAUAUUAGGAGGAACACCAGUGGCGAAGGCGGCUUACUGGACUGUAACUGACGUUGAGGCUCGAAAGCGUGGGGAGCAAACAGGAUUAGAUACCCUUGUAGUC
RNAcentral lists this ribosomal RNA (443 nucleotides) under uncultured bacterium. Its description in RNAcentral is "partial 16S ribosomal RNA". It matches the Rfam family "Bacterial small subunit ribosomal RNA", at positions 338 to 795 of the family's 1533-position model. The record is from RNAcentral.